GGCGGUGCGCCUUAUGCAUGCAAGUUGAGCGAAGCUUUUUGGUAGUUUACUACUAGAAAUGACUGAGCGGCGAACGGGUGAGUAACGCGUGAGCAAUCUACCUUAGUUACUGGGAUAGCCCGAGGAAACUCGGAUUAAUACCGGAUAUUCUUAUUUUUUCACAUGAAGUUUUAAGGAAAGGUCAGCCGAACUAAGAUGAGCUCGCGUUCUAUCAGCUAGUUGGUGGGGUAAAAGCCUACCAAGGCUACGACGGAUAGCUGGUCUGAGAGGACGAUCAGCCACACUGGGACUGAGACACGGCCCAGACUCCUACGGGAGGCUGCAGCAGGGAAUAUUGUGCAAUGAGCGAAAGCUUGACACAGCGACACCGCGUGUGGGAUGACGGUUCUAGGAUUGUAAACCACUUUCAGGAGGGAAGAAAAUGACGGUACCUCCACAAGAAGACCCGGCCAA
Molecule: ribosomal RNA, 453 nt
Filed under: uncultured bacterium
Lineage: Bacteria
Description: bacterial SSU rRNA
Rfam family: Bacterial small subunit ribosomal RNA
Source: RNAcentral